This 200-nucleotide ribosomal RNA is filed under the name uncultured bacterium. Its description in RNAcentral is "partial 16S ribosomal RNA". It matches the Rfam family "Bacterial small subunit ribosomal RNA", at positions 15 to 219 of the family's 1533-position model. The record is from RNAcentral.
GAUUAUGGCUCAGAUUGAACGCUGGCGGCAGGCCUAACACAUGCAAGUCGAACGGUAACAGGAAGAAGCUUGCUUCUUUGCUGACGAGUGGCGGACGGGUGAGUAAUGUCUGGGAAACUGCCUGAUGGAGGGGGAUAACUACUGGAAACGGUAGCUAAUACCGCAUAACGUCGCAAGACCAAAGAGGGGACUACGUCGCU